AAAAGGUUCUCGAAGACAGUAAACAGGAGCGGAAGAGGAACAGGAGGCAGCAGAAGAAAGGCCUCAAGAGAAAUGUAGGAGACUGCAGACACUAGAUCUGGACAUUGUUGGAGCUGGGACUACAUCUCCAGGAGGAGAAGCAUGGACCCAUCUAACUGACCUUAUGAGAGGUGGGGGUGGUUGUGAUGUCUUUGCUUCAAGUCAUGGUUCAGUUGGAACAGCCCUGCUCUACAUAUCUCUCAUUCAUCUGGGGCCAGCAUAAAACCACCUUUGCAGAUAAUUCCAGAAACCAUGUGGAAGAUUGACCAGAGGGGCAAUGCUAAAGGCAGAAUGGUUAUUGAAAUGGCCUGGAGAAGCACUAUUGAGGAACUGAAAUGGGAAAGGAACAGUCGGAAUAGAAGAGAAGAGGUGCUCGAGAUUCAGGCUCAAGCUCAAAAGCCAUCUCAGCAUAGUUCACUGAGUUACUUCAAGUGAGACAACAUUAUGUAUCAAUGAUACACUGAUGGAAGCCCAUGUUCCCUGUUAUAAAAGAGGUUACAUUUAUU
RNAcentral lists this long non-coding RNA (545 nucleotides) under Homo sapiens (human). RNAcentral describes it as "HSALNT0144374". The record is from RNAcentral. Lineage: Eukaryota; Metazoa; Chordata; Mammalia; Primates; Hominidae.